RNAcentral lists this ribosomal RNA (466 nucleotides) under uncultured Streptococcus sp. Its description in RNAcentral is "bacterial SSU rRNA". It matches the Rfam family "Bacterial small subunit ribosomal RNA", at positions 916 to 1381 of the family's 1533-position model. The record is from RNAcentral. Lineage: Bacteria; Bacillati; Bacillota; Bacilli; Lactobacillales; Streptococcaceae.
ACGGGGCCCGCGACAAGCGGUGGAGCGAUGUGGUUUAAUUCGAAGCAACGCGAAGAACCUUACCAGGUCUUGACAUCCCGAUGCUAUUUCUAGAGAUAGAAGUACUUCGGUACAUCGGUGACAGGUGGUGCAUGGUUGUCGUCAGCUCGUGUCGUGAGAUGUUGGGUUAAGUCCCGCAACGAGCGCAACCCCUAUUGUUAGUUGCCAUCAUUCAGUUGGGCACUCUAGCGAGACUGCCGGUAAUAAACCGGAGGAAGUGGGGAUGACGUCAAAUCAUCAUGCCCCUUAUGACCUGGGCUACACACGUGCUACAAUGGUUGGUACAACGAGUUGCGAGUCGGUGACGGCGAGCUAAUCUCUUAAAGCCAAUCUCAGUUCGGAUUGUAGGCUGCAACUCGCCUACAUGAAGUCGGAAUCGCUAGUAAUCGCGGAUCAGCACGCCGCGGUGAAUACGUUCCCGGGUCUU